RNAcentral lists this ribosomal RNA (403 nucleotides) under uncultured bacterium. Its description in RNAcentral is "partial 16S ribosomal RNA". It matches the Rfam family "Bacterial small subunit ribosomal RNA", at positions 29 to 526 of the family's 1533-position model. The record is from RNAcentral.
AUUGAACGCUGGCGGCAGGCCUAACACAUGCAAGUCGAGCGAGCGGCGGACGGGGGAGUAAUGUAUGGGGACUGCCCGAUAGAGGGGGAUAACUACUGGAAACGGUAGCUAAUACCGCAUACUAUCGGAUAACCCAUAUGGGAUUAGCUAGGAGGGGAGGUAAUGGCUCACCUAGGCGACGAUCCCGAGCUGGUCUGAGAGGAGGAUCAGCCACACUGGGACGGAGACCGGGCCCAGACGCCGACGGAGGCAGCAGUGGGGAUUAUUGAACAAGGGGCGCAAGCCUGAGGAAGCCAGGCCGCGGGUAUGAAGAAGCCCCUAGGGGUGUAAAGUACUUUCAGUCGGGAGGCGUUACCGACAGAAGAAGCACCGGCUAACUCCGUGCCAGCCGCCGCGGUAAUAC